AGUGAACACGAUUAAGUGACCAAAAUGACCAGCUAACAGGUUGUUUUAUUACAAAGCGAUUCACGCUGAAACGAAGCUGCAAAAAAGAGUUUGCCGCCAGCAGGGGUCGAACCUGCGACCUUGGGCUUAUUAGACCCACGCUCUAACCGACUGAGCUAUGGCGGCCAACACAUGUUCAGGAGCCCGGUGCCUACGAGACAAAAUGGUUGAAAAUGAAAGA
Caenorhabditis elegans is the source of this 220-nucleotide non-coding RNA. NCBI's taxonomy places the organism in Eukaryota, Metazoa, Nematoda, Chromadorea, Rhabditida, Rhabditidae. The record is from Ensembl.